UCUGAUUUGAUAAUGGGGAUAAUUGACAAACAAAUGAGGAUCCAGAUUGCACAAUUAGAAGUUAUAAAAUCCCUAACUUUUGCUUACAGUUAUUUUAAUGCAAAUAAGUAAGCAGUUCAUGUUCUUUUUAAAGUUUUACCGUUAUGCAAAUUAUAAUUCAUGAACCUUUUCGGUGCUGGAGCAAGAUAAAAGGAACACUAUAGGGUCAGGGAUUCAAACGUAUAUUCCUGACCAUAUAGUGUUAAAAACACUAUUUAGGGGAUGCAGGGCUUGGCCGCCAUGCAGCUUGGGCUGCUGACCAAUUUCUACUCAAGUUAUUUAGGGGUUAACUAAUCAACCACCGGCACCCGCAUCUGAUGCCUAUUGGACACCCUCUGAGAGAGGUCCCAGUCGUCUCACGGUAACAAUCGUGACACUGCGAUACCCAUAUUAUUGCAGCAUGGUAUGUUGCCUCGAUGGGAGAAGUGGCUGAUCUCCCCCUUUGGGACUAGCCUGGCUCUUCUGCAAAUCUUAAAGGGCCUGCACUCCCCUUCCCCUGUGGUAUGUUCUGUGUGUCACUGAGCACUCCUGUUAUAUUGAAUUCAGAGGCGGUGAAUGUUUAUG
Molecule: non-coding RNA, 603 nt
Organism: Pelobates cultripes (western spadefoot toad)
Lineage: Eukaryota; Metazoa; Chordata; Amphibia; Anura; Pelobatidae
Source: the annotation of a GenBank genome assembly